CCCUUAGAUGUUCUGGGCCGCACGCGUGCUACACUGAGUGGAUCAGCGGGUCAGGUUGCGCGAAAGUGUUUACUAAUCUUUAAAUCCGCUCGUGAUGGGGAUUGACGGUUGCAAUUUUCCGUCAUGAACGAGGAAUACCUUGUAAGCGCGGGUCAUCAUCCCGCGCUGAAUACGUCCCUGCCCUUUGUACACACCGCCCGUCGCUCCUACCGAUUGAGUGGUCCGGUGAGGCUUUGGGAUCUGAGCGGAAAGAGCGUUUCGCUGUUUCUGCCCGGAAAACUCAGUCGAACCUUAUCAUUUAGAGGAAGGAGAAGUCGUAACA
RNAcentral lists this ribosomal RNA (322 nucleotides) under uncultured eukaryote. RNAcentral describes it as "partial 18S ribosomal RNA". It matches the Rfam family "Eukaryotic small subunit ribosomal RNA", at positions 1470 to 1796 of the family's 1831-position model. The record is from RNAcentral.